This 211-nucleotide non-coding RNA is filed under the name Clostridiaceae bacterium. RNAcentral describes it as "6S RNA". It matches the Rfam family "6S / SsrS RNA". Rfam says of the family: E. coli 6S RNA was the first non coding RNA to be sequenced, but its function was unknown until recently. It consists of 184 nucleotides that fold into an extended hairpin structure with a large single-stranded internal bulge. Lineage: Bacteria; Bacillati; Bacillota; Clostridia; Eubacteriales; Clostridiaceae. The record is from RNAcentral.
UUAAUCCUGAAAUGUUCGUGUUGCCCUAAUUUUGAACCUGCUAUGUUUGACAAGGGAGCCUGAAGUUUGGGUACGUAGCACAGGCCACAAGCUAAUUCCGACAUAGAGCUUUAAGCUCUGUGCAACGGCGGUGGAAGUGUGAAAUAUUCAACAGGGCACCCACCUGGCGAGGCCAGGUGUCAAAAUAGGCUAACGGCAUUUUGGGGCUAAA